CUAGACAAGCCAUAUACCGUGUUAUUCAGCGAAAUGUCAGCUUUCAUUGAAAAAACUAUGUUUCUAACAAUUACCGUUCAAAUGUUAUUAAUAUAAAUAUAAACUAUGCAUGUUUGGCGCAUGGGUUCGUCAAUCGACUUUAGGGCUUUCUAUAAUGAAGACCAUGUACAGUGACUCACGUCACAUUAUCUUGCUGAGGUUGUAAAAGUUAUUUAUCUUGUGUGUUUUCCAGCCAUUUCCCACAAGAUUAUUAAAAUAAUAUUUUACGGGAGAGUUACCAGGAACAGGAAGUGAACUGCACGAGCCUACAGCUGUACGAGCCUACAGUCUGACAAAGAAGAACACUGCCAUCUGCUGGGGAAAGGAAAGUGUCUACCUCUACUGUGGCUGUCGUACUCUGCUCCAGUGAAGAGGUGCUCCAGAAUGAAGUCAAGCAGCGUCCUCUGAAGUUUAGAGUUGUGGGUGUAGAGCAAGGGGCCCACACCUGCAAAUGCUAGUUCUGGGCCGUCAGGACAUCACAGAGAAAGGGGGGGGGGGGAGAUAAUGCAUGCACAUCGAUGGGGCAGAAGCCAUUAAUUGUUACAAUUCCGAACGGUCAGAUAGCAUACAACAUUGACAAGAAGCUGCCAUGUGGGUGGUUUGUUUCAGCUGAAAAAAUAUAUAUAGAUGCAACAUGCAACAAUUUCAAAGAUUUUACUGUUACAGUUCAUCUUAGGAAAUCAGUCAAUUGAAAUAAAUAAAUGAUGUCUUAAUCUAUGGAUUUCAUAUGACUAGGAAAACAGAUAUCACAAAAAAGAUAUCUUUUUUUUUAAAAGGUAGGGGCGUGAAUCAGAAAACCAGUCAGUAUCUGGUGUGACAACCAUUUUCCUCAUACAGCGCGACUCCUUCGCAUAGUUGAUCAUGCUGUUGAUUGUGGCCUAUGGAAUGUUGUCCCACUUCUCUUCAAUGGCUGUGCAAAGUUGCUGGCAGUAACUGU
Molecule: long non-coding RNA, 976 nt
Organism: Salvelinus namaycush (lake trout)
Lineage: Eukaryota; Metazoa; Chordata; Actinopteri; Salmoniformes; Salmonidae
Exons: 3
Source: RefSeq, a predicted model, not a curated record